This 343-nucleotide unclassified non-coding RNA is filed under the name soil metagenome. RNAcentral's name for it is "partial contains 5.8S ribosomal RNA, internal transcribed spacer 2, and large subunit ribosomal RNA". The stretch from base 1 to 120 matches the Rfam family "5.8S ribosomal RNA", at positions 35 to 154 of the family's 154-position model. The record is from RNAcentral.
GAUGAAGAACGUAGCGAAAUGCGAUACGUAAUGUGAAUUGCAGAAUUCAGUGAAUCAUCGAGUCUUUGAACGCACAUUGCGCCCCCUGGUAUUCCGGGGGGCAUGCCUGUCCGAGCGUCAUUGCUGCCCUCAAGCACGGCUUGUGUGUUGGGCCUCCGUCCUCCUCCCGGGGGACGGGCCCGAAAGGCAGCGGCGGCACCGCGUCCGGUCCUCGAGCGUAUGGGGCUUCGUCACCCGCUCUUGUAGGCCCGGCCGGCGCUUGCCGACACAUCAAUCUUUUUUCCAGGUUGACCUCGGAUCAGGUAGGGAUACCCGCUGAACUUAAGCAUAUCAAUAAGGAGGA